Molecule: long non-coding RNA, 1504 nt
Organism: Loxodonta africana (African savanna elephant)
Lineage: Eukaryota; Metazoa; Chordata; Mammalia; Proboscidea; Elephantidae
Exons: 3
Source: RefSeq, a predicted model, not a curated record
UUACGUCCAAAUUGCAAUCUGAGAAUUAGUUUGUGGAGCUUUGAUUUAGCGGGUAUUCAGGAAUUUUAUGUAAAACAAGGAAACAGAGAAGAGGAAUAGAGCUGUGCAAAUGACCUCCGGGGUGCAGGAAGGACUCAAACGCUCACUUCUCCUUUGAGGUUAUUACAGUCUUUUGCUUGUCUUGACAUUUAGACAUAGCCUAUGUCUCUCCGUGCGGUUUGUAAAUAGCUGAGAUAGUUGAAAAACAGGUUGAACGCAUUUCCAGGGGUGUUUUGGUUUGCCUGUAUUUAUUCCUCAGUACCGCUGUGCGAACGGCCAGAACGACACAGAGGGGAUUAUUUUCCCGGGUUGUGCAAACUGGAUCCUUGAUAUCGUAGUUGCCUUGCGGACAUUGGCUGCCCACGAGCUCUAUUCCUUCACAUUUUGCCUGCUCCUCGUUUCACCAGAAAACACAGUAUCUGUAGCCACACGGAGACUUUUUCCUCUUUCCAUUUUCCCCUUCUUCCCCUCCCUAGACCUCGCUGGGCUUUGACGUCAUGUGUGCUCCUUUUAGUUGCCAUAGCAACCCCAUUCCCCAAGCCCUCUGUCGGUCUCCUCUGGUAGGUUUCACAAUGGUACAGGCAGCAUCACGCUGCACAAUGGUUUCCAGGCAGUGAAAGAGGGUGAUUCAGCAAGGCACUCUUCUUCUUUAAAGCCUCCCUUUCUCUUUUUGUUUUUAUGGGGGUGGAUGGUGCUUGUUAUAUGCUUACCUUUUUCUUUUCUUUUUACGUUUUUACAGUUUUCCUUUUUCUUCCUCACCCCUCAAUUUCUAGGGGCUUUGAGUGACUUUAAGAUUGAAUUUUCUUGUAAAUUACCUAUCCAUCAUUAAUUUUAAGCAAUCUCCCCACCUCCAAAGACUCUCUUCCUAAUUGCAGUUUGGAAUGUGGUUAAUGAAAGUCAAGUAGGGAGGAUUUUGGGGGCAAACACUGCCGGAUCAGGAUCGUAGUUCUCAGGCACGGAAUGGCUAGUGUGAGAAACAUCAACAGCAGGACCAUCUCCAGUCUUCGUUAUGGCAACUCAUGCAAGAAACUGUUGAAUUAGAACCAUUUCCUGUAGAUGAAAAACCAUACAAGCAGUGGUCUAUCUAAUCUUUGGCUGUAAGGUGAACUUCAGGACUGACUUCAGUAUUGAGUUAAAAGGGUGUCCAGGGACCAUACUCUCCGGGUUUCUCCAGUCUCUGUCAGCCCAGUAAGUCUGGUCUUUUUUUGUGAGUUAAACUUUUGUUCUACAUUUUUCUCCUGCCCUGUCCAGGACCCUCUAUUGUGAUCCCUGUUACAGCAGUCAGUGGUGGUACCUGGGCACCAUCUAGUUGUGCUGGACUCAGUCUGGUGCGGCUGUGGUAGUUGUGUCCAUUAGUCCUUUGGAAUAAUCUUCCCCUUGUAUCUUUGGUUUUCUUCAUCUCCCUUGCUCCCAACAGGGUGAGACCAGUGGAGUAUCUUAGAUGGCUGUUCACAAGCUUUUAAGA